GAACUGAGGAGAGUAACUAAAAAGCCGUCAAACUCAGGCCAGCUUGAAAACAGAGAUCUGGACACGAAAAUUCAGUUUGAAAAAUCCCAACUUUUUCUCCAGUAUUGCCCCCUGCUUUCCCUUCUCCGGUUCAACCCCCGCCAGCGCGCCCUCUCUCGUGGGGACAACUUGGCGACCGUCGCCGCCGCCCUAGGCCAGGUGCCCACGCUUUCGUCGGUCCCUUCAACAGCCCUUCGCCGGCGACGAGCAACCACUAAGAGCGUAGGAUGGCAAAGAUUAAGCCAAAGGCCUUGCUGGCACAAAGCAAAGUGAAGAAGGCUCCUAGCCAGAUCAGCGUGGCUACUAUCGUUACCUACAUGAUCCUCGGCAUCCUGGUUGUAUCCUCUGUUUAUGCUGCCUACAAAUACUGGAUAGGCAAAGGACCAGUGGAGGCAGUGGGCAUCGAGGGGAAUUAGUCCCCAACUAUGUAACUGGUUUUGUUGUUGUAUCAUCCAGUUGGAUAGUUUUGGUUGUUGCAGUGCAGUGGUAAAUGGUUUGAUGGAACAUGAUAGGAUUACGGAUCCUACCAGGCACACUGCGCAGGUUGUAUGGGUGAGAGCAGUGGCGGAGCCAGCAGUUUUAAAGAGCCUGGGCAAACCAAUUAUCCUCUAUGCUAUGUACA
Sorghum bicolor (sorghum) is the source of this 661-nucleotide long non-coding RNA. RefSeq lists it as uncharacterized. Lineage: Eukaryota; Viridiplantae; Streptophyta; Magnoliopsida; Poales; Poaceae. The record is from RefSeq and is a predicted model, not a curated record. The transcript has 2 exons.